This 433-nucleotide ribosomal RNA is filed under the name uncultured bacterium. RNAcentral describes it as "partial 16S ribosomal RNA". It matches the Rfam family "Bacterial small subunit ribosomal RNA", at positions 28 to 507 of the family's 1533-position model. The record is from RNAcentral.
AACGAACGCUGGCGGCAGGCCUAACACAUGCAAGUCGAGCGAGGACUCCGGUCCUAGCGGCGGAGGGGUGAGUAACGCGUGGGAACGUGCCCGUUGCUUCGGAAUAGUUCUGGGAAACUGGGAGUAAUACCGGAUGAGCUCUUUGGGGGAAAGAUUUAUUGGGGAAGGAUCGGGCCGCGUUGGAUUCGGGGGUUGGGGGGGUAAUGGCCGACCAAGCCGAGGAUGCAUAGCUGGUUGGGGAGGAUGAUCAGCCACGCUGGGACUGAGGCACGGCCCAGACUCGUACGGGGGGGAGCAGUAGAGAAUCUUAGACGAGGGGGGAAGCCCUGAUCUCGCCAUGCCGCGUAAGAGGGGAAGGCCUUAGGGUUGUAAAGCUCUUUCAGCUGGAAAGAUAAUGACGGUACCAGCAGAAGAAGCCCCGGCUAACUCCGUG